UUGACUUACUAAAAAAAAAAACCUUUUAGGGUCACCUUGAUGCGGUGAACAAGUUUUAUACCUUUAUUAUGUAAAAGAUAAGC
This 83-nucleotide transfer RNA is filed under the name Gammarus fossarum. RNAcentral describes it as "tRNA-Ile". The record is from RNAcentral. Lineage: Eukaryota; Metazoa; Arthropoda; Malacostraca; Amphipoda; Gammaridae.